RNAcentral lists this microRNA (22 nucleotides) under Oryza sativa (Asian cultivated rice). RNAcentral describes it as "osa-miR1861h". RNAcentral also lists the same sequence under 1 other name. Lineage: Eukaryota; Viridiplantae; Streptophyta; Magnoliopsida; Poales; Poaceae. The record is from miRBase by way of RNAcentral.
CGGUCUUGAGGCAGGAACUGAG